Molecule: ribosomal RNA, 2090 nt
Filed under: human gut metagenome
Description: bacterial LSU rRNA
Rfam family: Bacterial large subunit ribosomal RNA
Source: RNAcentral
UCAAGUAAGUAAGGGCGUACGGCGGAUGCCUUGGCCAUAUCAGCCGAAGAAGGACGCGAUAAGCUGCGAUAAGCUGCGGUGAGGUGCAAGUAACCUUUGACCCGCAGAUCUCCGAAUGGGGAAACCCGGCAGCAGUAGUGCUGUCAUCCUCUAUGAGGAAGGGCACCCGGUGAACUGAAACAUCUAAGUAGCCGGAGGAAAAGGAAUCAACAGAGAUACCCCUAGUAGCGGCGAGCGAACGGGGCAGAGCCCAAACCGGGAUGGGAAACCAAUCCGGGGUUGUGGACUGCUAUCAAAUGCAUGAGUGAAGCAGAAUGAGCUGGGAAGCUCAGCCAGAGAGAGUGAGAGCCUCGUAGGCGUAAGCGAGUGCAUGGAGCAGGAUCCGGAGUACCACGGGACACGAGAAACCCUGUGGGAAGCUGGGGGGACCACCCUCCAAGGCGAAACACUGAUAUGGACCGAUAGCGCAUAGUACCGUGAGGGAAAGGUGAAAAGAACCCCGGGAGGGGAGUGAAAGAGAACCUGAAACCGUAUGUCUACAAGCAGUCGAAGACCUUUAUAUGGUCGACGGCGUGCCUAUUGAAGAAUGAACCGGCGAGUUACUUCAGCUAGCGAGGUUAAGCAGGAAAUGCGGAGCCGCAGCGAAAGCGAGUCUGAACAGGGCGUAUAGUUAGUUGGAGUAGACCCGAAACCACAGUGAUCUACCCAUGUCCAGGUUGAAGCACAGGUAAAAAUGUGUGGAGGACCGAACCAGUGAGCGUUGAAAAGCUUUUGGAUGAGAUGUGGGUAGGGGUGAAAUGCCAAUCGAACGUGGAGAUAGCUGGUUCUCCCCGAAAUAGCUUUAGGGCUAGCCUCAUGGCGAGAGUACAGGCGGUAGAGCACUGAACGGGGUAGGGGCCUAUCCGGCUACUGAACCUAAUCAAACUGCGAAUGGCUGUACUUAUCCAUGGGAGUCAGACUGUGAGUAAUAAGGCCCAUAGUCAAGAGGGAAACAGCCCAGACCAACAGCUAAGGUCCCCAAUGCCGUACUAAGUGGCGAAGGAUGUGGAAUUUCGAAAACAACCAGGAUGUUGGCUCAGAAGCAGCCACCAUUAAAAGAGUGCGUAAUAGCUCACUGGUCGAGAGACUCUGCGCCGAAGAUGUCCGGGGCUAAAGUACGGAACCGAAGCUUUGGCAAUUAACAUAAGUUAAUUGGGUAGGGGAGCGUUCCUGCAUGGGAGAAGCCUGACCGGAAGGACAGGUGGACAGGCAGGAAGAGAGAAUGCCGGUAUGAGUAGCGAAAAGAAGGGUGAGAAUCCCUUCCACCGAAAGCCUAAGGGUUCCUGGGCAACGAUCGUCGUCCCAGGGUAAGUCGGGACCUAAUCCGAGGCGGAGACGCGUAGGAGAUGGACAACAGGUUGAAAUUCCUGUACUGGCUGAGGCCGUUUGAGCGAAGGAGUGACACAGGAAGGAAGGCGCGCGUGCGAAUGGAAGAGCACGUCCAAGCAGGUAGGUCGGGAGACAGGCAAAUCCGUUUCCCAUAAGGCCGAGAUGCGAUGGGGAGCUUCUGGAGACAGAAGCGAAGGGGCUGGCACUAAACUGUCGAGAAAAGCUUCUAGUGAGGACUCAGGCACCCGUACCGAAACCGACACAGGUAGGCAGGAUGAGAAUUCUAAGGUGCGCGGGAAAACCCUCGUUAAGGAACUCGGCAAAAUAUAUCCGUAACUUCGGGAAAAGGAUAACCCAGCGUACGUGAAGUGCAGAAGCGCAUGGAGCGGAGAUGGGUGGCAGAAGAGAGGCCCAAGCGACUGUUUACCACAAACACAGGCGUCUGCUAAAGCGAAAGCUGAUGUAUAGAUGCUGACACCUGCCCGGUGCUGGAAGGUUAAGAGGAAGUGUUAGCGCAAGCGAAGCAGUGAAUUGAAGCCCCAGUAAACGGCGGCCGUAACUAUAACGGUCCUAAGGUAGCGAAAUUCCUUGUCGGGUAAGUUCCGACCCGCACGAAAGGUGUAACGAUUUGGGCACUGUCUCAACGAGGGACCCGGUGAAAUUGAAGUACCUGUGAAGAUGCAGGUUACCCGCGACUGGACAGAAAGACCCCAUGGAGCUUU